This is a non-coding RNA of Vicugna pacos (alpaca), 433 nucleotides long. NCBI's taxonomy places the organism in Eukaryota, Metazoa, Chordata, Mammalia, Artiodactyla, Camelidae. The record is from RefSeq and is a predicted model, not a curated record.
AGGUCUUAUUGGUGGAUAUAUUCAGUACCAUUUCUUCAGAGUUUUCAUUUGAUCCAGAGAAGUUCUUUUGAGGAAACAGAUCAAGUCACAUAGAAAUUUCCUUCCCUCUCUGUAAGCUACCAGUGACUUCAGAACUCUGAAUUUCAGUGAAUCAUCACUUGAGAGGUAAAAAAUCUGAGACUUGGAAAGAUGAAAUGACUCAUCCAAAUUCACAAGACAAUGACUGAUGGCCUAGAUAGCUAUCCCCCAUCCAUCUCUACUCUUUUGGAAAGAUUACCUUAGUUACUUUGAUGUGCGUGUGGAAGUUUGGGGCGCUUAUCCACAGAGAUGCUGCAGGAGCUGUCACAAAGAGGAUUAUCCAAACAUGUGCUGAAUUUAAAGCAUGUAUAUGGAUAAAGAGAUAUAUGAUUCAAGAAGAAAGAACAAUACCUCC